GACGAACGCUGGCGGCGUGCUUAACACAUGCAAGUGGAGCGACGAACCAGAGCUUGCUCUGGGGCAAAGCCGCGAACGGGUGAGUAACACGUGGGUAACCUGCCCUGAUGAUUGGGACAACCCGAGGAAACUCGGGCUAAUACCAAAUGUGCUCUUCGGCUCUAAGGCCGCUGAGGAAAGGUAGCUUCGGCUUCCGCAUCAGGAUGGGCCCGCGGCCCAUUAGCUUGUUGGUGGGGUAACGGCCUACCAAGGCUUCGAUGGGUAGCUGGUCUGAGAGGACGAUCAGCCACACUGGGACUGAGACACGGCCCAGACUCCUACGGGAGGCAGCAGUGGGGAAUCUUGCGCAAUGCGCGAAAGCGUGACGCAGCAACGCCGCGUGGGGGAAGACGGCCUUCGGGUUGUAAACCCCUUUCAGUUGGGACGAGGCUCACACGGUUAAUAGCCGUGAGGAGUGACGGUACCUUCAGAAGAAGCCCCGGCUAACUACGUGCCAGCCGCCGCAGUAAGAC
This 512-nucleotide ribosomal RNA is filed under the name uncultured bacterium. RNAcentral's name for it is "bacterial SSU rRNA". It matches the Rfam family "Bacterial small subunit ribosomal RNA", at positions 28 to 526 of the family's 1533-position model. The record is from RNAcentral.